Molecule: ribosomal RNA, 254 nt
Filed under: uncultured bacterium
Lineage: Bacteria
Description: partial 16S ribosomal RNA
Rfam family: Bacterial small subunit ribosomal RNA
Source: RNAcentral
UACGGGGGGGGCAAGCGUUGUUCGGAAUUACUGGGCGUAAAGGGCUCGUAGGCGGCCAACUAAGUCAGACGUGAAAUCCCUCGGCUUAACCGGGGAACUGCGUCUGAUACUGGAUGGCUUGAGUUUGGGAGAGGGAUGCGGAAUUCCAGGUGUAGCGGUGAAAUGCGCAGAUAUCUGGAGGAACACCGGUGGCGAAGGCGGCAUCCUGGACCAACACUGACGCUGAGUGAGCGAAAGCCAGGGGAGCAAACGGG